RNAcentral lists this ribosomal RNA (465 nucleotides) under uncultured bacterium. RNAcentral's name for it is "bacterial SSU rRNA". It matches the Rfam family "Bacterial small subunit ribosomal RNA", at positions 28 to 507 of the family's 1533-position model. The record is from RNAcentral.
GACGAACGCUGGCGGCGUGCUUAACACAUGCAAGUCGAACGGUGAGGAGGAGCUUGCUCCUCCGAUCAGUGGCGAACGGGUGAGUAACACGUGAGUAACCUGCCCCAGACCCUGGGAUAACAGUUGGAAACAGCUGCUAAUACCGGAUACGAGACGGAGAGGCAUCUCUACCGUCUGGAAAGUUUUCGGUCUGGGAUGGACUCGCGGCCUAUCAGCUAGUUGGUGAGGUAAUGGCUCACCAAGGCGACGACGGGUAGCCGGCCUGAGAGGGCGACCGGCCACACUGGGACUGAGGCACGGCCCAGACUCCUACGGGAGGCAGCAGUGGGGAAUAUUGCACAAUGGGCGAAAGCCUGAUGCAGCGACGCCGCGUGAGGGAUGACGGCCUUCGGGUUGUAAACCUCUUUCAGCAGGGAAGAAGCGAAAGUGACGGUACCUGCAGAAGAAGCACCGGCUAACUACGUG